RNAcentral lists this ribosomal RNA (449 nucleotides) under uncultured bacterium. Its description in RNAcentral is "bacterial SSU rRNA". It matches the Rfam family "Bacterial small subunit ribosomal RNA", at positions 29 to 524 of the family's 1533-position model. The record is from RNAcentral.
AGCGAACGCUGGCGGCAGGCUUAACACAUGCAAGUCGAGCGGGCGUAGCAAUACGUCAGCGGCAGACGGGUGAGUAACGCGUGGGAACAUACCUUUUGGUUCGGAACAACACAGGGAAACUUGUGCUAAUACCGGAUAAGCCCUUACGGGGAAAGAUUUAUCGCCGAAAGAUUGGCCCGCGUCUGAUUAGCUAGUUGGUGAGGUAACGGCUCACCAAGGCGACGAUCAGUAGCUGGCUGAGAGGAUGAUCAGCCACAUUGGGACUGAGACACGGCCCAAACUCCUACGGGAGGCAGCAGUGGGGAAUAUUGGACAAUGGGCGCAAGCCUGAUCCAGCCAUGCCGCGUGAGUGAUGAAGGCCCUAGGGUUGUAAAGCUCUUUGUGCGGGAAGAUAAUGACGGUACCGCAAGAAUAAGCCCCGCUAACUUCGUGCCAGCCGCCGCCGUAAU